CUUGGAAGGCUGAUGUUCUCCGACAGCGACAGACGCGAAACCCCCUGUCAACCGAGCAAUUUACAACCCGCCGUGGUGGCUUAGUCGUUAUGGCUUUGCGCUGUUAAGCACGAGGUCGGGGGUUCUUUUCCCGGCUAGGGUGGCCACAUUUCGAUAGGGGCGAAAUGCAAAAACGCUUAUGUACCAUGCAUAUGGGGGCCCAUGUAGCUCAUUUGCUUGAUUAAUGUUACAAGAGCUGCAAGAGCUGCUAGGCCAUUCGGAUAGCCAAAAAUGCAAUAGUUCCAGAUCCCACCCGGGACUACAGCACGUUUGUCUUCAACUGCGAAUCUUUCUAAUCACAAGACCCGCGUGGUAUUUCCUUGUAACUUCUUGCUAACUUGAAGCGUAUGCCAGUGAUAUGGCAAUUUACUUGCCCCACUUGUGUAUAGGCAGAUCAAAUACUUCUGCCGUAGUUUACUUUGAAAUGAUGUACAACUAGCUCUUCAUUCAUCGCUAGAAGGGCGACUCCAACUGCUCGCGCCUCAGUAAGCAUCGUAAACGACGGCCGCCCCUUUUGCAGCGAAGCUUUGUGAGCACUCGCGAACAGUAGUAGCAGGUGGUUCUGACACCGAGAAGUAAGCAUUUUAUCGAGGACCUUCCGCUCGGCGCUAUAGCUGUUGAUACUCCUGCAUCGCGAUGUCGAAUGUACGCGUCUGUUUUCUCUCUCUUACCGUGGUAAUGUUGGCCUUGCCGUGCGUAACGACGUGGAUUGACGGUCGACAGAGGGGCCCAAGUUGGGUGAGCAUACCACCUGUUUACUUUGGGGAAAUAAGGGAGUUCGCCCAGCUCGCCGCGUACAGGGCGUCAGCGGACAACAAGUACCUCUACCACGUCGUCGUCAUCAACGAAGCGCGAUCAAGGCCGGAAGGCAUGAGAUGGCACAUCCAGAUGAAACUGAAGGUGGCGGAGUCCGUGUGCCUAACAAAACAUGGCAGAAGUCCUACAAGACCCUGCCCACAAAGGCCCCAUGCCCCCGUCCGGCGCUGCGAACUUGACAUCAUUCGCGGACGAUGGCGGAUGUUUGUACACGUUUACAUGGAAUGCGAGAGACCGCACCACUAGACACGGGCCUUUAGCUCAAGACACUGUUCUGCAGUCUAGUCAAUCAUACCGAGGAGCUGACCCUGUGCGCAAACGGAAGCUGUGCAUUCUUCAGUCCGUUCUCGAGCACCGAUACAGCGACCAUCGUGUAGAUCAAACAACCCUUUAUUGUCU
This is a long non-coding RNA of Dermacentor silvarum, 1254 nucleotides long. RefSeq lists it as uncharacterized. Lineage: Eukaryota; Metazoa; Arthropoda; Arachnida; Ixodida; Ixodidae. The transcript has 5 exons. The record is from RefSeq and is a predicted model, not a curated record.